CCUACGGGGGGCUGCAGUGAGGAAUAUUGGUCAAUGGACGCAAGUCUGAACCAGCCAAGUAGCGUGAAGGAUGACUGCCCUAUGGGUUGUAAACUUCUUUUAUAUGGGAAUAAAAUGUUCCACGUGUGGGAUUUUGUAUGUACCAUAUGAAUAAGGAUCGGCUAACUCCGUGCCAGCAGCCGCGGUAAUACGGAGGAUCCGAGCGUUAUCCGGAUUUAUUGGGUUUAAAGGGAGCGUAGGUGGAUUGUUAAGUCAGUUGUGAAAGUUUGGGGCUCAACCGUAAAAGUGCAGUUGAAACUGGCAGUCUUGAGUACAGUAGAGGUGGGCGGAAUUCGUGGUGUAGCGGUGAAAUGCUUAGAUAUCACGAAGAACUCCGAUUGCGAAGGCAGUUCACUGGACUGCAACUGACACUGAGGCUCGAAAGUGUGGGUAUCAAACAGGAUUAGAUACCCGGGUAGUC
Molecule: ribosomal RNA, 460 nt
Filed under: uncultured bacterium
Lineage: Bacteria
Description: partial 16S ribosomal RNA
Rfam family: Bacterial small subunit ribosomal RNA
Source: RNAcentral